CGGCCGAGUCUCUCCUGGCCCCAGUGUUUGUUGGACAGAAUUCACCUCUUUCUAUCAUUCUCUCUUGCAGGCUCUGUCUCUCCUCGCUGUGCUAUUCACAGGGGUAUAAAAUGCUCAGGCAAACAGAAGUCAAUGGCAGAUGUGUCGGCAGCACUUCUUUCUGUAAUUUUACUAAAUGGAUGUAGCCCAUAAAAGCAGCCUUAAUUAAUGGAAACAUUUUAAAGGAGUGUAUUUAAGAAAGGAUUCUCAAGAGGAAAAAAGGACUAGGAAGGGCUAAAAAAAAAGGAGAGUGUGGGUAGCAGGUGGAGCUACAAGCAAUCUGUGAAAAAGCUGCACUUCAUCCUAAUAAAUGAAUUUUCCAUCUCAAACUGGAGUUAACUCAGUGGCACCAGAAAAGUUUACACCAGCUGUGAAUCUGGCCCUACUGGCAAGUGUUCAAGCAAAAAUAUUACCAUCCGCUAGCAUUUACUUUCCAAAAGACAUGCUUUUAUUUAUCUCUUUUUAACAAAAUUAUUGGCUUUCCUCCAGCGUUAGGCAAUUUCUGAAGAAUUUCACCCAUGGCAUCUACCUGGACAAGAAGCUGGUGUCUCUCCCCUCUCAGUGAACACUGAAAAAUGCUUGAUUACCAGUAGAGGUCAAUGUCUGGAGCUUUAUACAUCAGGAGUAUUACACUUACUGAGAACUUAAAUAUUUCCUUAAAUGCUUAUUUUGGAGAGAAUUUUCUCAUACCAAAAUGUUCUCAGUAUCACUUUGUGUCAUUGUAUUCCUUGCACUAAAGACACAUCCACCCUCAAAAGCAAGCACAGGAAAUUCCAACACUACAAAAGCGGUUUGUUCAUAUAAAGGUGAGAUUUUGGCCUGACAGGCCAAUAAAAAAGUGGUUGCUCCUGAAUUCUUCUUCUUCUUUUUUUUUUUUUUUAACAAAUGCUAAAAAAUACCUCAUUUUUCUUACAUAAUAUUCAAUCUUGUGUAUCUUUGUGCACAUGUAUAAGAAAUAAAAAUUCACAUAGCAAGCUAACCACCAGCCAUAUAGUCAUAAUUGCUUCUGGAAAUAUUGUACUUGAAGACAUUUUCACAUCAGCUGAAUGUGUUCAAGUAUCAUCAUAACGUGGUGUUUACACCAGAUUAAUACCAUGUGCUGUGUGGGAAUUAUGUCAGGUUAUAAAUGGAAAUACAGUACACAAUCUGAAAUUCAGGAAUAUGGUAGAGUCUAAUUUCUUUUAAAGUGCUGUUAAUCAAGAAGAGCACAAGUACACAGGUCUGAAUAACAGCGCUCUCAGUUUACGCUGGUAUAGUGAGGGUAGGACCCAAUUCCAUCUGCCCUCAAGUUUCGUUAAACAAGUCAUAAAAAUAUCACCAGUUACAAUUAUUUCUGCAUAAUAGUAGUGGACUAAUGAAUUCAUUAAAGCAGACAGGAGUGCUGCUAGAAAACCAUGGUGAGCUCUCCAAUCUGAUGAGAAUUCUUUUUCUAGCUUUUUUUCUCCCAAAAUGGCGCCACUUCUCCAUGGCUCCUCUAGGCCUCAUGUGAUGCUGUCAACACAUUUCAACUCAACGCUGAAAGCACUUGUUUAAUCUGCAUUUUGCUCACUGCAUAAAUAGUUUAACAGUUGUCGAGAGGGUCAGAAAUAGGAAUAAAAGCACAAAAAAGUGGGAGAAGACGUGAAGAAUGCAGCAGCAGAAUGAGACUAAAUUGAAAACUGAGUUAAAAACAGAUGAGGAAUUAAGGAGUAGAAACUGAGAACCAAAACCAGUGCAAUCCAAGGGAACUUUCCAUUGAUUUCAAUCAGACCCCUGGGGAACAAAGACGUGGAGAGUAAUGACACUGAGAGAGAUGGCAUUGUUACCACAACAGACCUUAGCAAAGUGGGGGCGUAUGGCUGCAGAAAGCAAUGGUUUGCCAAGGGAAUAUCUUCCAGCACUGCCAAAGAAGAGGUAGGCUCUACUUCAUGGGGUAGGAGGACUGGUUCAGAAGCCAGGCAGUUGCAUGAAGUUGGCACUGGGCUCCACGUACCCAUUCAUAGUGCUUAUUAGCUCUGUGAUGAACCAGGCCAGAGAAGGAGCAUGGCAGAAUCAGGUCCCUCAGCUCUCUGCAGAGCUGUCCCAUGUAUUAUGUUCAGACUGCCUAAAACAAGGAGAACACCUGAUUCCUUGGCCAGCUCCCUAAAUUCAUACUCAAGUUCUUCUGAAAAGACUGCAUUGCUCAGGUUAGUAGCUGGGAAAAAAAGAAAAAAGGAAAAAAAAAAGACAAGAAAUGGCAACACUACAUUAAAGCUCUGAGUCUAAAUGAGACUGACUGAGCAACAUUAUGUGAGAAGAUUUCAGAAAAUUACAGCAUGUGAGAAGAUCUCAAAAGUAAAGGGCACAUUAAUCCCUCAUAAAGUAUAAUUCGAGUUUAAAGAUAAUUUUCAUCUUAGAGUGGAUAUGCAUGCUGUAGGAUCGUAGCUUCUUGUGUAAGUAGUGAAGUAUCUGCAGGGUAUUCUAUGGAGUGCUUCCCUGUGGCACAGUAAGUUAUCCCCUGUAUCUUCCAUUAAAACAUGCUAUAUGUUCAUGUUAUUCACAUAAACAUUACCUAACUCUCUUAGUGAUGACAGAUUGCCAUUUUGAUUAAAAAUUUAAGGGCAUGCUGUUGGUUUGACCCUGAUUCAUCUACUGAGUAGGACGUGAUAUCUUUUGUGCUAAUCUAGCUCUAAGCAGAUUAAUAUAUAUAUACUUGUAUAAAUAUAUACCCAUACACAUACAAAAAUAUAUCUGUACCUAAAAAAGUGUUGGAGGACUGAAUGAAGGAGAGCAUUAACUCUCUCUUUGCACAGGUCCUAUUAAUAUGAAAAUUAGUGUAAUAUGAUUAACUGCUCCUUUUAACACCAAAGAGUGAGUCUUGAGAGAUUAUUUUGCAAGAUGAUAACAUUUCCCUAUCCGGUUUGUAACCCUAGGGAAAACUGAAAAAAUGUGGAUUUUGAUUUGAACAAUAAUGAAAUGGUAAGUGAUAUAGCUUUGCUGUCUUAUAAUGACUGUAUUAAUUUGCAAGCUGGAGUGCUAAACCAGAAUGGAGGUGCUUGAGGAGAUAUGCCUGUUAUCUAGGCAACAGUUAAUAUGAUGAAAAAGCUAUUUAGAAGCAGCUCCAUGUUUUUAUCAUAAAUAUAACUUUAAUUCCUUGAGAAUCUCCAUAAAGUCCUGGUAGAAUGUAAUAAAUGCAACAUAAUCUAAAAGAGAAGACUGUCAUCUAUAACCAUUCCCAAUAUUAGUUAUGGAUCUUUUAAAGUUUGAAAGCACUUUCUGUAAGAGAAUCUAUCCCAUAUAUUCCAUCCUAUAUUACUUUCCAGUUUAGAAAAAUGACUUAACUGUGAUAAAGAGAUUCAAUUUUUACCUUUUGCUUGCUUUUGAGUUAGCAUGGCAGACCUUAUCUAUUAAUUUGCCAGUAAGAAUCUCUCUUCAAUUGUGCUUUUUUUCCCCCAAAAGUGAAAAAGUCUUUUCAAUUUUAAUUUCAGCGUAGGAAAGAAGUGCUCCACAAGCAGAUGACAAAAUGGAACUAUAUGCAGACUGUGUUUUAUCACCAGACUAAAAAUGCAAAGCUUCUUUCAAUACAGUGCUCUUAUGAUUGUCAAAAAUUUUUAUUACUGAUAUUUAUAUGUGAUGAGGCUGAAGAAGGACUUUUAUUAACUGGUGAGACUAUACAGAUUUCAUGUCACAUUUACUGAAGCUAAAUUUAAUUUGGCAAGGCUGUAAACCAUAGCCAAUUUUUCUACAGCAAUACCCUAAUUUCAGCCUUUGGAAAAUAAUCUUUUUAAAGUUCCUUGGAGGUCAGCCUAGAGGCCUGGGAAAUGAAGGAUGGAACCAAGAAAUAAACACAGGGCUAAACUGAGUUUCCCACAACAUACAGUUCAGACCUCAGUCAGAACCUCCCCAGUCUGGCCUCUCCAUGGCACUCAUGUUUUGCCUCAUCUUAUGUUGCAUCUCAGUGAAGAUAUACUGGCACACUCUGCACACAUAUUUGGGCAAAUGAUGCUGUAUUGAGGAAGGAAGAGACUGAAGAGUAGCCUUUACACAACACAACGCAUUGCCAGCAACUGACAUAGGCUAGCAGGCUGAUGUUCUGGGGCAGUAUUUAAGGCAUUGUCAGUUGGUUGGUCUUGCCCAGAUGCAUAGAGCAGGUAGGUAUUUUUUUUCUCAAUUUUUGUACGGAGAGCUGAAUGAACUUUAGGUGUAGGCGUUUUGGUAAGAACAGUUCAGGAGCCUGGUGUACUCAUGAGGCAGAUGUUGUUUGCAGUAGGCUGAAGCAUGUGAUGCUGUUGUAGAGUCUGAAGGCAAGUGUGUUGUUACCAAAUAGUGGUACAACACGAGUAAAUGAGGAGGUAAAUAAAUAUUUCCCAAAGGAUGGGGAACAAAUCUGGGUAAAGACAAGGAGUAACAUCAUUUCUCAAGGAAGGGUUGGAUCCUCUAGUCCUGUUUAAAGUAAAUACAGGGCAAGAAAAAUAAGAUUUAUUGGUAAGCACUAGAACAUGUGUUCUGAUGUUUAUUUGGGCAAAAAUUAUUUUUCCUCCACAUGACAGUGGCACAAAAAAAUGUACUGUUAUAAGUUGAGGCAGACUUCUAACUUUGAAGAGGAAAAGCUCUUGGGGAAAGUAUGGGAAAUAUUAAAAUAUAUGACUACCGUUUACUUUUUUUAAGCAAGUAUAAAAUGCCUCUAACCAGCCCUUGACUUACAAUCACUGAGAACGUGAAUAUUAUGACAGGAGAAGCUCUCUGCUAUCUAUUCACAUAAGCAGUUACUCGAAUAAGGAGCUGUCAUCCUUUCUAUGAGGGUUUCUCUGAAAGUAAUGCAUUCUAUAUUAUAAUGCUGACCCAUCACAUCAGAGGUGGAUGGUGGUGGUAUGGCAGUAGAGACUGAACCUCUAUAUCUGUCAGUAUACCAUUACAUUUUAUUGCCUUGUGACUGCAGCAGAGGGGCAGUCUGACAAAAUGGCGUCUGACACAGAAGUGCAAAUGAAGCAAAGGCAUGUCAUUGAAUUCCUCCAUGCAGAAAAAGUGGCACCCAGUGACAUUAACCAGUGCUUGCUGAAUGUUGAUGGAGACCAAACAGUGAAUGUGAGCACAGUGAGGCAAGGGGUGGUGUGUUUCAGCAGUGGAAACAGUGACAGUGGGUAAUCUGCACUGGUGUAGAUUUUUACAAGUGCGGCAUGCAGGCUCCUGUUCAUUGCUGGCAAAAAUGCAUAGCUAGUGGUUGUGACUAUGUUGAAAAAAUAGUGUUUUGUAGCUGAAAGUUUUCUCUGUCAAACAGUGUUAUUGUGGUCUUUGUACCUGUUGCAGUUUCCAUGGAAAUAAAUAGGAGGCAUUACUUUUGGGGCAACCUACGCAUAUAUUCUGCGUGCUAACAUCAUAGACACAGCUUUUUGCAUCACAUGGCAGAAAAGAUUUUGCCUUCUCCUGAGACAGAACUGACAGGACACGAUGGAGAAUCUGAGGGAAUCUGAAGGAUAUCCUCCCCACACCAGUAUUUACCUUUAAACACUCUCUCCUGGCUUAGGGCAGCAGGAAGGAAGUUUUUUUGUUGAGCUUUGGUCUUCAGAAUGCCUACGUUUAUGUGCAGAUUGCAGGAUGUUAUGGCGUUGGCUAUGUCAAUAUUGUCUGAGUGCAUUCUUCAACCCUGUAGCUCUGAGCAGGUAGAAGUCUGUCUGUAGCUAAAUGAUAAGGCUCUAUCUGCAGUAAGUAUAAUAACAUCGUCCACACACACGUACAGACGGCUACAGAAGAGUGAUGAGACAUUUUGUUUUGCCAAAUAUAGAACCUAAUGAAAGAAAUCACGGGUUCUACAUUUUAGCGCCUGAGACUUUUAAUCGUUGAACUUUUGAGUUCAAGCUCUUGGCUCUAGAAAAAUUCAGGCUUUUAUUGCAUUAUUUAGUCCUUCCUUCUCCCGCUAAAAUCCUAGGGCUCGAAUUAAUUACACACACAAAUCUUGGCACAGGUUUCAAUUUAAAGAGAAACAUUUUUCUUCUGUUAACUUUGUGCCUUUCCUCCAGUGGAGGGACAAGUUUUGAUUACAACUGGGAACACAGUCAUCCCAGAAAGGCUUUGGAAAGAAACAUUUCUUCUAAAGCUUAAAAUAUUUUGCAAAACUCACUUUCAUCAAAGCUCCUUCAUCACUGCUAUUAAAAUAUAUGUCACCAAUUUCAUUUAGGUUUAUGCAAAAAAAGAAUCCAUAAACUGCUGUCAUUUCUUUUCACUGCCAAUUUCUCGGCUGGUAUAAACCACCAUUAUUCCAGCUUGGUAACGCUGCUGUGCAUCCAGCUCUGGAUCUGGCUCCUGCUUUCCAUUAAUUGUGAUACAGGGUAACUGGAUGAAAUUCUGUGGCCUGUGUUUUAUAGGUAGUUAGACUUGAUGCUCUAAUGGUCCCUCUUCUGCCUUUAAAUUCUAUGAAUCUAAUGAAAAUUGUGUGUGCAUCAAGGGGAAAAUACGCCUGUUUACCAUACAAAAUUCUUGUGCCUCAUUUCACAAGAAGCCAGGAUUUCUUUUCACAGUAUUGAUAAUUAUAUUACAAACAGUAUUUAGCACAUGAAAUUAAUAAAUCUUUUGCUUCCUCGUUUACACCCGUUUCCCAUAUUGUAUUAGUAACCACACAUUAGCUAAUCAGCAGGUUGAGGGGAAAGCUGCCAAAAGCAGAUCUGAUAAUUGGCAGCAUUCAAACAAUCAUAGCAGGAAACUUUACACUUCCUGCAGACAAGGCUACUGAUGAAGACAAUGCUGAGAUAUAACUUUAGGGGAAAAGAAUUAGGAUGUUUAGUACUUUCAUGUUUAAUGAUCUCUUGAAAAACUGGAUUCACAGCUCAUGGGAGGCACAGGUAUUUUGCACAGAAACAAUGUAGAAAACCACCCAACACUGGUAAAGGGAGUUCUGAUAGCCUAGUGAUCAACUAGAAGCAUUCAUGAGAUUUGUCCUCUGCCAAGUUUUACAAGCCAUUUAAAACACCUUUUUAUUUGUCUACAUCCAUAUAUGGUACAGUUAUUACUGUAAUAGGUGAGAACUUGACACAUUUAUCAGCACAACAUUCCCGAGAUAAAUAUCAACAAAUCCAUCCCACUGGUAGCUAUUUUAAACACACAUCAGCUGAGUUUUAGACCUACUCAAGACUUCAGGUGAUUUAGAUGAGAUUUAAAACAAAAUUCAAUGUUCUAAUUUUCCACUCAUCUACUGCUUAGCUUUGGCACUAUCUAAAUUCUUUCAAGCGUUUAAAGUCACCCAAAUUUCCUCAUAUAUUCUCCUUUAAGGAAUAGAAACACUUCAGUCUUCACAGUGUGAAGAAGCUGUAGCUCUUCGGUCAAAGAAGUUCAACUUUCAGCAUUAUCCGCCACUAAGCAUCCUUCAUUUAUCUCAUUGUUGGCAGCAUUCUUGCUAAUGUUUUACUUCACAUAUCUUUCAGAUCAAGUACAGCAGGAAUGGCUGUAGAAGAGCAGAGAUGAAGAUCUCCCACUUCUCCUCACAUCUGAGUUGACUCAGGUUCUGUGGGCAAACAUACCUGUGAGUUUCUUUCACAGAGAGGAACAGUUUCAACAGGAAAAGAUGGCAGCAGAGGGAUUGUCUGACAAAAUGGAGUCUGACCUGGAAAGGCAUAUGAAGUGUGGAACUGAACUCCUCCAUGUGGAAAAAAUGGAACCCAUUGACAUUCAUUGAUGUUUGUUGAACAUUUAUGGAGACCAAACAGUGGAUGUGAGCGCUGCGAGGUGGACUUCUACAUUACUGCAGCUCUGAAAUCUCAACAGUUUACAUGCUGAACUGCCGGAGAGAGGCCCUGGGAAGCACAAAACCUCAACAAUGAUGCCAUGGCAUGGCAGAAAGAUUCAAACUGAGGACGUUCGUGAAAAGGUUUUCGCUGAGUCAAAGAGAUUUUGUGAGACUCCAGCCCAGUAUAGCAUGAUUAUGGCAAAACUAUUAGGGCAGCUCAGUUUCCACAGCACAAUCAUAUUUGCAGUAUAUGCAUAAAAAGCGUGACAAUAAAGACUAUUUAGGUUACAAUUACAAAACCUAGAAUGCUCAGCAAUCCAGGGAGCUUUCACUGUUUCCUAUAACAACCUGAUCACACUUUUUAAGAUCUGUCAUAAUAAGGAAACAGUUGCAGCAUCGAUGUGCUUAAAACUUUGCUUAUGUGAUCAGUCCAUUUUACAAAUUGCCAAUUAGUCAUGUUCAU
RNAcentral lists this long non-coding RNA (8177 nucleotides) under Gallus gallus (chicken). RNAcentral's name for it is "lncRNA (ENSGALG00010004093.1)". The record is from RNAcentral. Lineage: Eukaryota; Metazoa; Chordata; Aves; Galliformes; Phasianidae.